This 713-nucleotide ribosomal RNA is filed under the name uncultured bacterium. Its description in RNAcentral is "partial 16S ribosomal RNA". The record is from RNAcentral.
CCUUCGCCACCGGUGUUCCUCCUGAUAUCUGCGCAUUUCACCGCUACACCAGGAAUUCCGUUCUCCCCUGCAUACCUCUAGUCUGCCCGUAUCGAAAGCAAGCACCCAGUUAAGCCAGAUGAUUUCACUCCCGACGCGACAAACCGCCUACGAGCCCUUUACGCCCAAUAAUUCCGGACAACGCUCGCACCCUACGUAUUACCGCGGCUGCUGGCACGUAGUUGGCCGGUGCUUCUUCCCCACCUACCGUCACCACACCCAAAAAGAUGCAGCUUCGUCAAUGGUGAAAGAGGUUUACAACCCGAAGGCCGUCAUCCCUCACGCGGCGUUGCUGGAUCAGGCUUCCGCCCAUUGUCCAAUAUUCCCCACUGCUGCCUCCCGUAGGAGUCUGGGCCGUGUCUCAGUCCCAGUGUGGCCGGUCACCCUCUCAGGCCGGCUACCCGUCAAAGCCACGGUAGGCCAUUACCCCACCGUCAAGCUGAUAGGCCGCGAGCACAUCCCCCACCAAAAAAUCUUUCCACACAACCCCAUGCGAGACCAUGUGCACAUCCGGUAUUAGCACCCAUUUCUGAACGUUAUCCCAGAGUGAAGGGCAGAUUACUCACGUGUUACUCACCCGUUCGCCGCUCGAGUACCCACAAGUGGGCCUUUCCGCUCGACUUGCAUGUGUUAAGCACGCCGCCAGCGUUCGUCCUGAGCCAGGAUCAAACUCU